Molecule: long non-coding RNA, 848 nt
Filed under: Nicotiana benthamiana
Lineage: Eukaryota; Viridiplantae; Streptophyta; Magnoliopsida; Solanales; Solanaceae
Description: long non-coding RNA (NBEN_LNC024919)
Source: RNAcentral
UCACUUUCAAGAACAUGCCAUUGCCUAUUAUUUGAAUGCACUCUAAUUCUUAAAAUUAAAAUGAUAAGCUAGAGAUCAAAACAAUAAAGCUUAACCACAUGAUUGAAAAUAUGCAUAACGAACGUGUGAAUGGUUUAAAUAGCAGUUCAUAUGCACAGUCUCUCAAGUGUUAUGACCUACUUGCCAACCAAACUAUUAGACCACAAAUCUUCUAAGAAGACAAGAUGCAACAUGAAUUUCCUAAGAAAUACUACUUCUAUAUUAAGAUGAACAGGCCAGGCUAAAUACUAUUACGCUACAUUCCUGACUUCAAAAUUCUAAGGCAAAUGAUUAACAUUGAGGAUUAAAGAAAUCAGUCAUUCAUUCAUGAAAUCUUCAGGCAAUUACAGCUUUCAUACUUGCAUCUCAUCUCCUAUCGAAUCAAGGAAUACCUAAAAAUGGAACAAGAAAACAAAGAGAUGUGAAGUCAGAGGCCAAAAGUAGGGGAUCAGCAAUAGGACAGUAGCCACAAACACCAGCAGAAAGUAGCUCAACCAGAUCAAGUUCAAAAAUAAUAAAAGGGCAACCUCACUCGAGACAAUACCAAACCAAUCCUCAAAACCAAAAACCUAAGCAACCGAUUUCAAUUGAUUGAGCUAUACUACCCACAAAACCUUUUCAAGAAGUAGAGAACUUAUGGAAUCACUAGAGUAUUUCAAUGAAAUAGUGAUUUUUGCUUCAGUUUCAUCCCUCUUCUUUUCUGUAUUUUCCAGCCCUUAAAUCUACCCUUUUCUCUAUGGAUAUUUCACCAUAUAUAGGUUCCAAAGAUUUCAUGUGCUGGAAGAAAUGUUCCUCAGCCACAAAAAGGC